RNAcentral lists this ribosomal RNA (429 nucleotides) under Chloroflexota bacterium. RNAcentral describes it as "Chloroflexi bacterium partial 16S ribosomal RNA". It matches the Rfam family "Bacterial small subunit ribosomal RNA", at positions 355 to 776 of the family's 1533-position model. Lineage: Bacteria; Bacillati; Chloroflexota. The record is from RNAcentral.
UGGGGAAUAUUGCACAAUGGGCGCAAGCCUGAUGCAGCCAUGCCGCGUGUAUGAAGAAGGCCUUCGGGUUGUAAAGUACUUUCAGUCGGGAGGAAGGUGGUAAGGUUAAUAACCUUAUCAAUUGACGUUACCGACAGAAGAAGCACCGGCUAACUCCGUGCCAGCAGCCGCGGUAAUACGUAGGGCGCGAGCGUUGUCCGGAAUUAUUGGGCGUAAAGGGCUUGUAGGCGGCUUGUUGCGCCUGCUGUGAAAACGCGGGGCUUAACUUCGCGCGUGCAGUGGGUACGGGCAGGCUUGAGUGUGGUAGGGGUGACUGGAAUUCCAGGUGUAGCGGUGGAAUGCGCAGAUAUCUGGAGGAACACCGAUGGCGAAGGCAGGUCACUGGGCCAUUACUGACGCUGAGGAGCGAAAGCAUGGGUAGCGAACAGG